This 468-nucleotide ribosomal RNA is filed under the name uncultured bacterium. Its description in RNAcentral is "partial 16S ribosomal RNA". It matches the Rfam family "Bacterial small subunit ribosomal RNA", at positions 28 to 507 of the family's 1533-position model. The record is from RNAcentral.
GACGAACGCUGGCGGCGUGCUUAACACAUGCAAGUCGAACGGAAAGGCCCUGCUUUUGUGGGGUGCUCGAGUGGCGAACGGGUGAGUAACACGUGAGUAACCUGCCCUUGACUUUGGGAUAACUUCAGGAAACUGGGGCUAAUACCGGAUAGGAGCUCCUGCUGCAUGGUGGGGGUUGGUAAGUUUCGGCGGUUGGGGAUGGACUCGCGGCUUAUCAGCUUGUUGGUGGGGUAGUGGCUUACCAAGGCUUUGACGGGUAGCCGGCAUGAGAGGGUGACCGGCCACAUUGGGACUGAGAUACGGCCCAGACUCCUACGGGAGGCAGCAGUGGGGAAUAUUGCACAAUGGGAGGAAGCCGGAUGCAGAAACGCCGCGUGCGGGAUGACGGCCUUCGGGUUGUAAACCGCUUUCGCCUGUGACGAAGCGUGAGUGACGGUAAUGGGUAAAGAAGCACCGGCUAACUACGUG